UACGUAGGGGGCAAGCGUUGUCCGGAUUUAUUGGGCGUAAAGAGCGUGUAGGCGGCCAUACAGGUCCGUUGUGAAAACUGGAGGCUUAACCUCCAGACGUCGAUGGAAACCGUAUGGCUAGAGUCCGGAAGAGGAGAGUGGAAUUCCUGGUGUAGCGGUGAAAUGCGCAGAUAUCAGGAAGAACACCCGUGGCGAAGGCGGCUCUCUGGAUCGUUGCUGACGCUGAUACGCGAAAGCGUGGGGAGCAAACAGG
RNAcentral lists this ribosomal RNA (253 nucleotides) under uncultured bacterium. RNAcentral's name for it is "partial 16S ribosomal RNA". It matches the Rfam family "Bacterial small subunit ribosomal RNA", at positions 524 to 776 of the family's 1533-position model. The record is from RNAcentral.